Molecule: ribosomal RNA, 406 nt
Filed under: uncultured bacterium
Lineage: Bacteria
Description: bacterial SSU rRNA
Rfam family: Bacterial small subunit ribosomal RNA
Source: RNAcentral
UAAGGGAUAUUGCGCCAAUGGGCGAAAGCCUGACGCAGCAACGCCGCGUGCGGGAGGACGGCCUUCGGGUUGUAAACCGCUUUUCCGGGGGAAGAGGGAGGACGGUACCCUGGGAAGAAGUCUCGGCUAACUACGUGCCAGCAGCCGCGGUAAAACGUAGGAGGCGAGCGUUAUCCGGAUUUACUGGGUGUAAAGCGCGUGCAGGCGGUUUAGCAAGUCGUGCGUGAAAGCGCUCUGGCUCAACCGGGCGAGGACGUGCGGAACUGCUGAACUGGAGGCAGGUAGAGGCGUGUGGAAUUCCGGGUGUAGUGGUGAAAUGCGUAGAGAUCCGGAGGAACACCAGUGGCGAAGGCGACGCGCUGGGCCUGGCCUGACGCUAAGACGCGAAAGCAUGGGGAGCGAACGG